This 484-nucleotide ribosomal RNA is filed under the name uncultured bacterium. RNAcentral's name for it is "partial 16S ribosomal RNA". It matches the Rfam family "Bacterial small subunit ribosomal RNA", at positions 29 to 507 of the family's 1533-position model. The record is from RNAcentral.
AUUGAACGCUGGCGGCAUGCUUUACACAUGCAAGUCGAACGGCAGCGCGGGCUUCGGCCUGGCGGCGAGUGGCGAACGGGUGAGUAAUGCAUCGGAACGUGCCCAGUAGUGGGGGAUAGCCCGGCGAAAGCCGGAUUAAUACCGCAUACGACCUGAGGGUGAAAGCGGGGGACCGAAAGGCCUAGCGCUACUGGAGCGCCCGAUGUCGGAUUAGCUAGUUGGUGGGGUAAAGGCUUACCAAGGCGACGAUCCGUAGCUGGUCUGAGAGGACGACCAGCCACACUGGGACUGAGACACGGCCCAGACUCCUACGGGAGGCAGCAGUGGGGAAUUUUGGACAAUGGGGGCAACCCUGAUCCAGCCAUGCCGCGUGCGGGAAGAAGGCCUUCGGGUUGUAAACCGCUUUUGUUCGGGAAGAAAUCCUCUGGGCUAAUACCCCGGGGGGAUGACGGUACCGGAAGAAUAAGCACCGGCUAACUACGUG